GAUGAACGCUAGCGGGAGGCUUAACACAUGCAAGUCGAGGGGCAGCAUAGGGUAGCAAUACUCUGAUGGCGACCGGCAAACGGGUGAGUAACGCGUAUGCAACCUACCCUGUACAGGGGGAUAACCCGGAGAAAUUCGGACUAAUAUCCCGUAAUAAUAUCCGGAGGCAUCUUUGGAUAUUUAAAGUUUCGACGGUACGGGAUGGGCAUGCGUAACAUUAGCUGGUUGGUAAGGUAACGGCUUACCAAGGCUAUGAUGUUUAGGGGUCCUGAGAGGGUGGUCCCCCACACUGGUACUGAGACACGGACCAGACUCCUACGGGAGGCAGCAGUGAGGAAUAUUGGUCAAUGGGCGCAAGCCUGAACCAGCCAUCCCGCGUGCAGGAAGACGGCCCUAUGGGUUGUAAACUGCUUUUCCAGGGAGAGAAACUUACGCACGUGUUGCGUGACUGACGGUACCCUGGGAAUAAGCAUCGGCUAACUCCGUGCCAGCAGCCGCGGUAAUAUC
This 507-nucleotide ribosomal RNA is filed under the name uncultured bacterium. Its description in RNAcentral is "bacterial SSU rRNA". It matches the Rfam family "Bacterial small subunit ribosomal RNA", at positions 28 to 526 of the family's 1533-position model. The record is from RNAcentral.